Molecule: ribosomal RNA, 369 nt
Filed under: Xenosiphon sp. USNM IZ 1449802
Lineage: Eukaryota; Metazoa; Annelida; Sipuncula; Golfingiida; Sipunculidae
Description: SSU rRNA
Rfam family: Eukaryotic small subunit ribosomal RNA
Source: RNAcentral
AUGCAUGUCUAAGUACAGGCUUUCACAAAGCGAAACCGCGAAUGGCUCAUUAGGUCGGACAUGGUUCCUUAGAUCGUACACUCCUACUUGGAUAACUGUGGUAAUUCUAGAGCUAAUACAUGCGAGCAAGCUCCGACCUCACGGGAAGAGCGCUUUUAUUAGAUCAAAACCAAUCGGGCCGCAAGGUCCGUGCCUUUGGUGACUCUGGAUAACUUUGUGCUGAUCGCACGGCCUCGAGCCGGCGACGUAUCUUUCAAGUGUCCGCCCUAUCAACUUUCGACGGUACGUGAUAUGCCUACCGUGGUUGUAACGGGUAACGGGGAAUCAGGGUUCGGUUCCGGAGAGGGAGCAUGAGAAACGGCUACCACA